Molecule: ribosomal RNA, 508 nt
Filed under: uncultured bacterium
Lineage: Bacteria
Description: partial 16S ribosomal RNA
Rfam family: Bacterial small subunit ribosomal RNA
Source: RNAcentral
GACGAACGCUGGCGGCGUGCCUAAUACAUGCAAGUCGAACGCUUCUUUCCUCCCGAGUGCUUGCACUCAAUUGGAAAGAGGAGUGGCGGACGGGUGAGUAACACGUGGGUAACCUACCCAUCAGAGGGGGAUAACACUUGGAAACAGGUGCUAAUACCGCAUAACAGUUUAUGCCGCAUGGCAUAAGAGUGAAAGGCGCUUUCGGGUGUCGCUGAUGGAUGGACCCGCGGUGCAUUAGCUAGUUGGUGAGGUAACGGCUCACCAAGGCAACGAUGCAUAGCCGACCUGAGAGGGUGAUCGGCCACACUGGGACUGAGACACGGCCCAGACUCCUACGGGAGGCAGCAGUAGGGAAUCUUCGGCAAUGGACGAAAGCCUGACCGAGCAACGCCGCGUGAGUGAAGAAGGUUUUCGGAUCGUAAAACUCUGUUGUUAGAGAAGAACAAGGACGUUAGUAACUGAACGUCCCCUGACGGUAUCUAACCAGAAAGCCACGGCUAACUACGUG